UAGGGAAUCUUCGGCAAUGGGGGGAACCCUGACCGAGCAACGCCGCGUGAGUGAAGAAGGAUUUCGGUUCGUAAAACUCUGUUGUUAGAGAAGAACAGCGCAUAGAGUAACUGUUAUGCGUGUGACGGUAUCUAACCAGAAAGCCACGGCUAACUACGUGCCAGCAGCCGCGGUAAUACGUAGGUGGCAAGCGUUGUCCGGAUUUAUUGGGCGUAAAGCGAGCGCAGGCGGUCAAUUAAGUCUGAUGUGAAAGCCCCCGGCUCAACCGGGGAGGGUCAUUGGAAACUGAUUGACUUGAGUGCAGAAGAGGGGAGUGGAAUUCCAUGUGUAGCGGUGAAAUGCGUAGAUAUAUGGAGGAACACCAGUGGCGAAGGCGACUCUCUGGUCUGUAACUGACGCUGAGGCUCGAAAGCGUGGGUAGCAAACAGG
RNAcentral lists this ribosomal RNA (429 nucleotides) under Bacteroidota bacterium. RNAcentral's name for it is "Bacteroidetes bacterium partial 16S ribosomal RNA". It matches the Rfam family "Bacterial small subunit ribosomal RNA", at positions 355 to 776 of the family's 1533-position model. Lineage: Bacteria; Pseudomonadati; Bacteroidota. The record is from RNAcentral.